UUUUGCUACCAGUCUGGCCUUAUACCUCUCAAUUGAACCAUCUGCUCUAUGCUUCACAGUGAACACCCACUUGCAUUCAACUGACUUCUUUCCCAGUGGGAGAGUAACAAGUUUCCAUGUCUCAUUCUUUGCCAGAACUUUCAUCUCCUCUACCAUGGCUACCUUCCAUUUUGGAUCAUGACAUGCUUUCUUCCAAUCCUGUGAGAUAGAGACAAAGGAAACAGACAG
Molecule: unclassified non-coding RNA, 228 nt
Filed under: Hevea brasiliensis (rubber tree)
Lineage: Eukaryota; Viridiplantae; Streptophyta; Magnoliopsida; Malpighiales; Euphorbiaceae
Source: RNAcentral